This 253-nucleotide ribosomal RNA is filed under the name uncultured bacterium. RNAcentral's name for it is "partial 16S ribosomal RNA". It matches the Rfam family "Bacterial small subunit ribosomal RNA", at positions 524 to 776 of the family's 1533-position model. The record is from RNAcentral.
GACGGAGGAUGCAAGCGUUAUCCGGAAUGAUUGGGCGUAAAGCGUCCGCAGGUGGCAGUUCAAGUCUGCUGUCAAAGACCGGGGCUUAACUUCGGAAAGGCAGUGGAAACUGAACAGCUAGAGUAUGGUAGGGGCAGAGGGAAUUCCUGGUGUAGCGGUGAGAUGCGUAGAGAUCAGGAAGAACACCCGUGGCGAAGGCGGCUCUCUGGGACGGUACUGACGCUGAGACGCGAAAGCGUGGGGAGCGAACAGG